This 407-nucleotide ribosomal RNA is filed under the name uncultured bacterium. Its description in RNAcentral is "partial 16S ribosomal RNA". It matches the Rfam family "Bacterial small subunit ribosomal RNA", at positions 30 to 526 of the family's 1533-position model. The record is from RNAcentral.
AUUGAACGCUGGCGGCAGGCCUAACACAUGCAAGUCGAGCGGAGUGGCGGACGGGUGAGUAAUGUAUAGGAAUGUGCCUGGUAGCGGGGGAUAACGACCGGAAACGGGCGCUAAUACCGCAUACUAUUGGAUGAGCCUAGGUCGGAUUAGCUAGUUGGUGGGGUAAAGGCUUACCAAGGCGACGAUCCGUACCUGGUCUGAGAGGAUGAUCAGUCACACUGGGACUGAGACACGGUCCAGACUCCUACGGGAGGCAGCAGUGGGGAAUAUUGGACAAUGGGCGAAAGCCUGAUCCAGCCAUGCCGCGUGUGUGAAGAAGGUCUUCGGAUUGUAAAGCACUUUAAGUUGGGAGGCGUUACCUACAGAAUAAGCACCGGCUAACUUCGUGCCAGCAGCCGCGGUAAUAC